Molecule: ribosomal RNA, 501 nt
Filed under: uncultured bacterium
Lineage: Bacteria
Description: partial 16S ribosomal RNA
Rfam family: Bacterial small subunit ribosomal RNA
Source: RNAcentral
AUUGAACGCUGGCGGCAGGCUUAACACAUGCAGGUCGAGCGGGGGAAGGUAGCUUGCUACCGGACCUAGCGGCGGACGGGUGAGUAAUGCUUAGGAAUCUGCCUAUUAGUGGGGGACAACAUCUCGAAAGGGAUGCUAAUACCGCAUACGUCCUACGGGAGAAAGCAGGGGAUCUUCGGACCUUGCGCUAAUAGAUGAGCCUAAGUCGGAUUAGCUAGUUGGUGGGGUAAAGGCCUACCAAGGCGACGAUCUGUAGCGGGUCUGAGAGGAUGAUCCGCCACACUGGGACGGAGACACGGCCCAGGCGCCUACGGGAGGCAGCAGUGGGGAAUAUUGGACAAUGGGGGGAACCCUGAUCCAGCCAUGCCGCGUGUGUGAAGAAGGCCUUAUGGUUGUAAAGCACUUUAAGCGAGGAGGAGGCUACUUUAGUUAAUACCUAGAGAUAGUGGACGUUACUCGCAGAAUAAGCACCGGCUAACUCUGUGCCAGCAGCCGCAGUAA